This 627-nucleotide ribosomal RNA is filed under the name Triticum aestivum (bread wheat). RNAcentral's name for it is "partial small subunit ribosomal RNA". Lineage: Eukaryota; Viridiplantae; Streptophyta; Magnoliopsida; Poales; Poaceae. The record is from RNAcentral.
AUGGACUGGGCGGCGCACACAACCCACAUCCGCGCCCAGCUGGAACGCGCCCAGCAGCGCUUCAAGAAGCAGGCCGACCGCAAUCGCACGGAGCGCCAAUUCCAGGUGGGCGAGCAAGUUCUGCUGAAGCUGCAGCCUUACGUCCAGCGCUCCGUCGUCAGACGACCCUGUGCCAAGCUCGCCUUCAAGUUCUACGGGCCGUACACCGUUAUCGAGAAGAUCGGCCUCUUGGUGUACAAGCUCGAUCUGCCGGCGUCCAGCCGUGUGCAUCCGGUCUUCCACGUCUCCCAACUGAAGCCGUUCACGCCGGACUACACGCCGGUGUACGCGGAGGUACCUCGAGUGCCGGAUCUGUCCGUAUCAUCUUCUGAACCCACGCAACUACUGGAGCGGCGCAUGAUGAAGCGGGGCAAUGCAGCCAUUGUGCAGGUCAAGGUGCAGUGGGGUGAUGGCUCGCCUCCGGCCACAACGUGGGAAGAUUACGAGGUUCUUAGACAGCGCUUUCCAACAGCAGCAAUUUGGACGACGCCGAGGCAAGUACUCAAGACGGAGCUCAGUCUUAAGGGGGAGAGAAUGUCACACCUGGUCACUUGGCAAGUGUGUGAAUCAUUCUGUAUCUCACCCUAA